This 356-nucleotide ribosomal RNA is filed under the name uncultured bacterium. RNAcentral's name for it is "partial 16S ribosomal RNA". It matches the Rfam family "Bacterial small subunit ribosomal RNA", at positions 338 to 691 of the family's 1533-position model. The record is from RNAcentral.
CCUACGUGAGGCUGCAGUGAGGAAUAUUGGUCAAUGGGCGCGAGCCUGAACCAGCCAAGCAGCGUGCAGGAUGACUGCCCUAUGGGUUGUAAACUUCUUUUAUAAAGGAAUGAAGUGAGGCACGUGUGCCUUUUUGUAUGUACUUUAUGAAUAAGGAUCGGCUAACUCCGUGCCAGCAGCCGCGGUAAUACGGAGGAUCCGAGCGUUAUCCGGAUUUAUUGGGUUUAAAGGGAGCGUAGAUGGGUUGUUAAGUAAGUUGUGAAAGUUUGCGGCUCAACCGUAAAAUUGCAAUUGAUACUGGCAGCCUUGAGUACAGUGGAGGUAGGCGGAAUUCGGGGUGUAGCGGUGAAAUGCUU